Molecule: transfer RNA, 76 nt
Filed under: Methylobacterium mesophilicum SR1.6/6
Lineage: Bacteria; Pseudomonadati; Pseudomonadota; Alphaproteobacteria; Hyphomicrobiales; Methylobacteriaceae
Description: tRNA-Cys
Rfam family: tRNA
About the family: Transfer RNA (tRNA) molecules are approximately 80 nucleotides in length.
Source: RNAcentral
GCUCGGACAGCUGACCCGGUGUUAGCGCCGGUUUACAGAGCCAGAGAGUGUGGUUCGACUCCACACCCGGGCACCA